Molecule: ribosomal RNA, 97 nt
Filed under: Sphingobacterium puteale
Lineage: Bacteria; Pseudomonadati; Bacteroidota; Sphingobacteriia; Sphingobacteriales; Sphingobacteriaceae
Description: Sphingobacterium sp. M05W1-28 partial 16S ribosomal RNA
Rfam family: Bacterial small subunit ribosomal RNA
Source: RNAcentral
UUUUACAAUGGAGAGUUUGAUCCUGGCUCAGGAUGAACGCUAGCGGCAGGCCUAAUACAUGCAAGUCGGACGGGAUUUAACUUAAAGCUUGCUUUAA